Long non-coding RNA from Micropterus dolomieu (smallmouth bass), 378 nucleotides. RefSeq lists it as uncharacterized. The record is from RefSeq and is a predicted model, not a curated record. The transcript has 3 exons. Lineage: Eukaryota; Metazoa; Chordata; Actinopteri; Centrarchiformes; Centrarchidae.
CUGCAAUGGAAAACGGAGCACGGCCGAGUCAAGUUGAGCCAGAACUCAAGCUACAUUGAAAGUGCAAGUUCAAGUGCCCGCUGGUACCGUUUGAGAGGCCACAGUAACAAGGCGGAUCAAACGAAAGACAAGGGAGCACGCAGAACAUCACUUUCAGCAUUUCUGGCAGAGAGGGAUGGAGUGGGAGCAACACUGAUCAAACACGCUCAUGGACACAGUGCACACAGAGCACGAGGGCGGGGGGGAUUGUGCAGAGGACACUGAUACAUCACAUCAGGACACACUGAGACUUUCAGGACAUGAAAACUGCAUAAGACAUAAAGGGCUUUACAUCAUCUUAAACCUAGUUUGGCAUUUCUAUACGGCAAUGUUACUCAU